RNAcentral lists this ribosomal RNA (124 nucleotides) under Chloroflexota bacterium. RNAcentral's name for it is "Chloroflexi bacterium partial 16S ribosomal RNA". It matches the Rfam family "Bacterial small subunit ribosomal RNA", at positions 1 to 115 of the family's 1533-position model. The record is from RNAcentral. Lineage: Bacteria; Bacillati; Chloroflexota.
UUUUAACGGAGAGUUUGAUCCUGGCUCAGGAUUAACGCUGGCGGCGUGCCUGACACAUGCAAGUCGAACGGGUGCUAGCUGCCCGCAAGGGUGGCUAGCGCUAGUGGCGGACGGGUGAGUAACA